UGUCCUUUGGUGUAAUGGUUAGCACGACAGACUUUGACUCUGUUAGUCCUUGUUCGACCCAAGGAGGGACAA
Molecule: transfer RNA, 72 nt
Filed under: Caudoviricetes sp.
Lineage: Duplodnaviria; Heunggongvirae; Uroviricota; Caudoviricetes
Description: tRNA-Gln
Rfam family: tRNA
About the family: Transfer RNA (tRNA) molecules are approximately 80 nucleotides in length. Their secondary structure includes four short double-helical elements and three loops (D, anti-codon, and T loops).
Source: RNAcentral